GUGCCAGCUACUGAAGCAAAAAAAAGGACCUGAUACACAUUGUAAUCAUGGACUGCUGAUAUACCUGAUGCAUUUCUUCAUGAUGGUCGAUUUCCUUUCACCGGAUCUUACAUGUUUAAUUAUGUGUGCUCGGAACCAAAAACUGAUUGAGAUCUUCAGUUCUUACUUGCAGAUGUUCUGUUAUUCAGAGUAAUUCAGUUUCCAGUCUCUGUUUAUUAAUCAAAUUAUGGGUUAUUUUCAACCAUAUAGGCUUUUAUUAUAUGUUCAGUUAUGCUUCCAUGGGUUUUGCAUAUGUAUUAACAAAACAACCAGACUGCUAUUCUGUAUAUACUUGGAUCAAAGGGUGUACAAUUAAUUUAAUCUUACGAAAGGAAUGAGUAGGCAGCUAGCAAAAUGGGAGGACAAUCAUGACAAGCGAAGGAACACAUAAAUAGUAAUCCCACAAUUUUUACAACUGCAUUCCACUUUAAUUUGGUAUGGACAUGCAUUUUUAUCCUUGGAGUACUUUGGAUUUUAAGUGGGAAUCAUUGGUUCUUUUCUUCUUAAUAUUUUACUUCUUAUAAUUACAAAUACCAAUUUUAGAGAAUUGAGCUCGUACUUAAAAUUCAAUUGAGUAUGAAGCCACUGCCCAUUGUGUGAAAGAAACAAUUAUAACAUUGUACUCUAACAAAUCACACAUAUAGAGAAAUGUUAUUUUCGAGUCUCCUUAACCUACUGAUCUUUUUUUAGAUAUAUGAAACUUGCAUUUGUUUUCUUAAUUCUUCUGCAAUGCAGGUGAUAUUCCUAAUGGUUGCUGCUGACGCUUAAAAAAUUACUCCUGAAGCACUAGAAGUGCCCUCUCUAUGGCGCAUCACUCACUGGAUCCAGAUGGGCAACAUUCCGCUUCAAGAUUAAAGAGUACAGUUUUUGCAUGCUAUCAUUGCUUAUCCAAGAGUAAUCUACCAUGUGCCUAAUAUAUAUACAUGAUUGUUGCACCAUCACAAGAUUUCCAUUAUAUACAUGGGCAUAACUUUCUUUACUGUGAAUUAAUCGACACGAUGCUUCUGUUUUAAGGAAUGGCAAUGCUAAAUUCUACAGUGGUACUCUCUACUCUGUCGAAUGUUUACAAACACCACAAAGCUAGAGAUCUAUUGUGGAAACCUUUCUUUCUUUUGUUUGUUAUAACUUCUUAGUGUAAAAAUAAAUAUGGCUUGUCCAUUAGGAAACAAAUAUGUAAGAUUUAUUACUUUUCAAAGUUGAAUUGUUCCUGACAAUUACACAUGAGAGUGCAUAUAAUUCAGUUGUGCUGACUUGCUGUUUCUAAAAUGAUAAGCUGGAGUUGGAGUUACAUAUGAGAGUAGAGAUAAUUUAGUUGUGCUCCUGACUUGAUUAACAAAAGCUGCAGAAGAAAGGGACAAAAUACCAAAAAGCUGAAAAUUUGAAGAAAGGUGGAAGUAGGGAACUACACAACUUGAUUCAAGGUUACGAAGGGACAAAGGGCAUUGAUUGAGCAGGAGAAAACAAUAAUGGGCCGAGGCAAGGAUAUAGUGCUCAGUUAGUAAAGAGAUAUGUGGGAAGUGGAGCAGCGGGAUGCAAAUGGAAUUUUUGUGACUCACUGAAG
This 1600-nucleotide long non-coding RNA is filed under the name Triticum aestivum (bread wheat). Its description in RNAcentral is "long non-coding RNA (TAES_LNC001016)". The record is from RNAcentral. Lineage: Eukaryota; Viridiplantae; Streptophyta; Magnoliopsida; Poales; Poaceae.